AUGUACGAGGGCGCCGUGUUCAUACAUGUCCGUGCAUGGUGUGUAUGUGUUCUUGCGCUGAUUCAUCUCCCCGCUGAGCAUAGUUGCCUUGCAGUUUCUAUGCGCACUAAUUUUUGCAGUUUAUAUACACUGAAACAUGGCCUUGGUGCCGGCCCUUGGGCUACCGUACGUCGAAGCACCGGUUUCGCUCCCGUGCAGGAUGAUAGUCCAUUUUGCAUCAUGCUUUUAUAUCGAUAUUUAUUGCAUUAUGGGCUGUUAUUACACAUUAUAUCACAAUAUUUAUGCAUAUUCUUUCUUAUUUUAUAA
Molecule: ribosomal RNA, 306 nt
Filed under: Triticum aestivum (bread wheat)
Lineage: Eukaryota; Viridiplantae; Streptophyta; Magnoliopsida; Poales; Poaceae
Description: partial small subunit ribosomal RNA
Source: RNAcentral